Molecule: ribosomal RNA, 482 nt
Filed under: uncultured bacterium
Lineage: Bacteria
Description: bacterial SSU rRNA
Rfam family: Bacterial small subunit ribosomal RNA
Source: RNAcentral
AUUGAACGCUGGCGGCAGGCCUAACACAUGCAAGUCGAGCGGUAACAGGAAUAGCUUGCUAUUCGCUGACGAGCGGCGGACGGGUGAGUAACGCGUAGGAAUCUGCCCGGUAGUGGGGGAUAGCCCGGAGAAAUCCGGAUUAAUACCGCAUACGCCCUAAGGGGGAAAGCAGGGGAUCUUCGGACCUUGCGCUAUCGGAUGAGCCUGCGUCGGAUUAGCUUGUUGGUGGGGUAAUGGCCUACCAAGGCAACGAUCCGUAGCUGGUCUGAGAGGAUGAUCAGCCACACCGGAACUGAGACACGGUCCGGACUCCUACGGGAGGCAGCAGUGGGGAAUAUUGCACAAUGGGCGCAAGCCUGAUGCAGCCAUGCCGCGUGUGUGAAGAAGGCCUUCGGGUUGUAAAGCACUUUCAGCAGGGAGGAAAGGUUGUAAAUUAAUACUUUGCAGCUGUGACGUUACCUGCAGAAGAAGCACCGGCUAAC